RNAcentral lists this ribosomal RNA (251 nucleotides) under Paenibacillus prosopidis. The record is from RNAcentral. Lineage: Bacteria; Bacillati; Bacillota; Bacilli; Caryophanales; Paenibacillaceae.
GCAGCUGACGAAUACUAAUCGGUCGAGGGCUUAUCCUAAAACCGUUUGCCUGGACCCAUACAUCCGGCAGACAAACAGCUAAAGUUCAGCAGCAACUUCUUUCGUAUCCGGUUUUCAGCGUGCAAAACGCUACGUUUGGUGGCGAUGGCGGAGGGGAACCACGCGUUCCCAUACCGAACACGACCGUUAAGCCCUCCAGCGCCAAUGGUACUUAGACCGCAGGGUCUUGGGAGAGUAGGACGUCGCCAAGC